CUUUUUCCCUUUUCUUGUAAUUAUAGUUUCAGAGAUGAGAGAUAUCUCUGCUAGGGUUUUUUCAAGAAUGCUCAUGUUCUUCUCCCAUCUCUGCAGCUACCACUGUCGCUAUUGCUGUCUUCACUCAGCACUGCCACCACCACUUCUACUGCCGCCACACCACACUUUCCGGUCCUCUGCGUUGUUGCGUUUUGUCUCUGCUCCUGCGAACUACUCAGAGAAAGACAUCAAAACUACUGCUUUUGAUAAUUCUCAAUGACACAGUGGAUCCUUUUAUGGUGUUGAUAACUCUAGUUAUAAUAGAACUUACUAUCAGGAGUCGAUAUAUGCUCAAGCACCGCAUGGAAUUUCUGGUGUUCAAUAUUUUGAAAACUAUCAACAGCAAUUUGAUCCUAGAUAUGGAAGAGGAUAUGGUGUUCUUACACCACACCAGCAAUCUCAACAGCCUAAUUUUCUUUGUCCCACCACAGACUGCUCAGAUUGUGAGGGAGACCAAAUGUUAUUGAAUACAUUUUUGACUUUUUUGGUACCACUAUCUUUUGUCAAAUUUGGUUUGAAGCAUUAGAAGAUUUCAUAGAGUGAUCAUUGCCUCGGCAUUUACAGGAUUUUCUGGUUUUGAAGUAUGGAAGCAAAAAAGGAAAGAAGUUUUGUAUCUUUAUAAGUGCAAGAUGAAAGCAAGAGUUAUUAUUGAACCAACAAUAGAUAAUUGUAUUCUAAAUAUAAAGCUCUAGAGUAUUUCAAGUAAAAUGGUCUAGAAAAAUAAGUUUAUUCAUAAUUGCUUUAUGAAUUUGAAGCUGACUGGCACAGAAUGACUUUUACUAUGUUGGUUGCCUAAAAUUGAAAGUGGUGGAAAUGCUCUAGGCAUUGAAGUAGCAGAGAAGGGUGCAAUUAGUUUUGAAAAAUUGGAGUAAUAUCUUGGUGUAAUAAUUGUGUGACUUUAUUUUAUGAUUGAUAUUGUACUUUGUAAUUUUAUAUGAUUAUUUGUAUUAAGUUA
Long non-coding RNA from Arachis stenosperma, 994 nucleotides. RefSeq lists it as uncharacterized. The transcript is spliced from 6 exons. NCBI's taxonomy places the organism in Eukaryota, Viridiplantae, Streptophyta, Magnoliopsida, Fabales, Fabaceae. The record is from RefSeq and is a predicted model, not a curated record.